Molecule: long non-coding RNA, 1748 nt
Organism: Canis lupus familiaris (dog)
Lineage: Eukaryota; Metazoa; Chordata; Mammalia; Carnivora; Canidae
Exons: 2
Source: RefSeq, a predicted model, not a curated record
AAAAAAGAAGAAGAAGAGAUUAAGACAUACAGUGACAUACACAAAGGCUGCAUGGGCACAGAAAAAAAGACCAUGUGUGGACACAGCAUUUCCUUCUCACAGAUGGCACACAGAGAAGGUGGAUGUCUGCAAGCCAAGGAGAAAUGCCUUAGGAGAAACCAAACAUGCUGACACUUUGAUUUUGGAUCUUCUAGCCUUUAAAACUGUGAGAAAAUAAAUGAGUUACGUAAGCCACCCAGGCUAUGAUACUUUGUUAUAUCAGUCUUAGCAAACAAAUAGAUUAUCGUUAUUGAAAGAUUGGAUUGAACACCAUAAGAUUCAAUUUAAAGAGCCUCUGGGAAGCAGGAUAUGACAGUAGGGAAGAGAGAUUUUUGUCUUGUUGUUUUUUUAAGUGAAAUCUUUGUAGAACUCAUCAAUUCCUUAAAUUUGGUAAAAGUACAGACCAAAAAAAUGAAGGGCAGUGUCUGAAAAAAUCAGAGUUACCUCCUGCCUUUUUUCAUCUGAGUGAUUAACAACUCUCUGGAGUUCUCUUUCAAGCACUGUGGACAUCUGGGGUUCUAUCAAAGAUGCCAUCAAAGGGGGAUUAAUGGCACUUUGGGCACUCUUUAUGAAUGCCGGCUAAAUUUAGUCCAGCCUCAGUACUGUCCAAAUAGCUGAUUAGGACUCAUUGCUCCUGGGUAGGAACCUGAUUUCACCAAUAACUCUUUUGUAGUUGAGCCCCUUCAAAGUGAAUUGUUGUGAAGUGAUACUACAUAGUUCUUACAGCACUUGGUAAGAGACGUUAUAUAUUUGUUACGGGAAUAAUAUUUUUAUAUUGUAUUUCCAUAUAGUUUCCUUUAUCUGGCCUCUGUUUUGUCUCCCUGUGGCCCUUCUGAUAUGGAAGAUAUAAUCAAUUAGUAAUAGAAAGCCAACUAGAAAUGUUUAACCAUGAAGAAAUAUUCUCACACAUAAAAAGAAACCUUGAGAUGGUUGAUUAGUGGGUAGGGUGUCUAGUUCAAUGGCUCAAUGACAUUAUUAAGGACCAGAGUUUCCUAUCCUUAUUCUGAGCUGCAAUUUGUAUUAUGUUGACUACUCUCUCCUUAGGUACAAGAUAACUGACUUCACCAGUUCCAGAUCUCAUGCCUCAGAAACAUCCAAAGGCUGUAUAGGAAAAGACAUCCAUAUUCAUAUCCCUCUUUAAGAAAGGAACCCUUUCCCAGAAACCCCCAGCACAAUUCUCAUUACAUCACAGUGACCAUAUUGCAUAGCAUGUCAUUCCUAAACUAAGUAAGCCAGAGUAAUGGAAUUACCAGGGUUCCCUUAAUCCAAAUAAUACUCAAGAUGGAGAGAAGCUCAGGUUCCUCUGAAACACACCUCUGACCCAUACUUGAAAAAAGUCAGGAUUAUUUUACCAAGGAAGAAGAGAGGAGAAGGAAGAUGAAGGGGAAAGAAGAUGACUGAAGGAAGGUGAAAAACAAUCCUGACAAGGACUUUGAACUUUGCAUUAACUGAAUAUUCACAGCUCAAGAUGAAGAUAGACAGAAUUACAUUUAAGUGGCAAGUUGCUCUUGUCCAAAGGAAUAUGGCUCCAGAAUAGGAGGUCAGUUAUGAAGAAGAAUUAUUAUUUAUCCUCAGCUCAAAUGAUAUGAAUUUUGGCUUUGCUCUAUUUUUUUUUUUUUUUUUUUGGAUUGUCUUCCUUUUUUUCACCUUUUGGUGAAAAAUUGUCGGGAAAGUGGAAUAUGAAAUAAAAAAUGUGAAGAUCCUCUUGA